AUGGCGGCCACGCCGUGGCUGCUGCUUCUUUGCCUCAGCCUCGGCGCCGGAGGCGUACUGCAAGCUCGUGCCCAGCCUGACAGUAAAGGAUUCAUAAGCAUAGACUGCGGUCUGCAGGGGGAGACGGGCUACACGGAUAACACCACCAAACUCUCCAUCGCCCCGGACAACGGCGGCUUCACGGACGACGCCGGAACCUGCCACAACAUCUCGGCCGAGUAUGUAACUCCGUUGAUGGGCAAGAGCUGGUACAACUUGCGCAGCUUCGCAGCUGGCACGCGGAACUGCUACACGCUCCGGUCCAUCGUACCCGGGCUCAAGUACCUCGUCCGGGCCAGGUUCAUGUACGGCAACUACGAUGGCCUCCAUCGGCUGCCCAUGUUUGACCUUCACAUCGGCGUCAACUUUUGGCGCACUGUGAACAUCUCCAGCCCAUUCGCGGCGAAGUUCGUGGAGGUCAUUGUCGUGGUGCCGGAUGACUACGUGCAGGUCUGCCUGAUCAACACCGGUGCCGGGACGCCCUUCAUCUCCGGGCUGGACCUCAGGCCGCUCAAAAAGACAAUGUACCCACAGGUGACCGCGGCGCAAGGGCUCGUGCUGUUGACCAGGUUCAACUUUGGCGGCGACGAAAACACCGGUAUCAGGUAUCCUGAUGAUCCACACGAUAGAAUGUGGUUCCCUUGGGUUAACUCUUCAUCGUGGACCGAGAUAUCAACGACGAGGAGGGUCAAGUACGAAGCCGACAGCCCCUUCGAGGCGCCGAUGGCCGUGAUGCAGACGGCCAUUAGGCCGCGGAACGCCUCACACAACAUAGAAUUCGACUGGGAGCCCCAGCCCCAACCCAACGACCCAUCCCCAGGGUACAUCAUCAUCAUGCACUUCUCGGAGUUGCAGCUCCUCCCAAGCAACGCUGUGCGCGAAUUCUACAUCAACCUCAAUGGCAAGUUGUUGAACCGAGAUGUCAUGAGGCCACCAUACCUGUACGGACAGGCCAGCUACAAUACCUUCGCCAUCCGGAAGAGCUACUACAUCGUCUCCCUCAACGCCACCACCAACUCGACGCUGCCGCCAAUUAUCAAUGCUCUCGAGUUGUUCUCAGUCAUACCCACCACCAACCUCAGCACAAACUCCCAGGACGUGUCUGCCAUCAUGGCGAUCAAGGCGAAGUAUCAGGUGCGUAAAAACUGGAUGGGCGACCCGUGCGGUCCAGGGACUGUCAUGGUGUGGGACAGCUUGACAUGCAGCUACGCCAUUGCAAGGCCCCCAGGGAUCAUAAGAGUAGACCUGUCCUCCAGAGGUCUGAAUGGUGAUAUAUCAUCAUCUUUUGCCAACCUCAAAGCCCUCCAAUACUUGAAUCUAUCAAACAAUAACUUGGUAGGCUCAAUUCCAAAUGUUCUUUCGCAAUUAACUUCACUGACAGUUUUAGAUUUGUCACGCAACCAGCUGAAUGGAUCAAUCCCCUCUGGACUCCUCGUAAGGGUCCAAGAUGGCUCACUCGAUCUAAGAUAUGGCAACAAUCCAGACCUUUGCACCAAUGGGAAUUCAUGUCAGCUGCCAACUAAAGAGAAGAGCAAGUUAGCAAUUUACAUUGCCAUCCCUGCAGUUCUGAUAGUGGUCAUGGUGGUGGCAGUACUCUUUUGCUUUAUAAGACGAAAAUGCCAAGGAUCAAUAAACAACUCUGUGAGGCCACGCAAUGAGAUGAUGACCAGCUACGCGUCGGGAGAUGAUUUGUAUGCGGACGGUUCGCUGCGACUUGAGAGCCGCCAAUUCACUUACGAGGAGCUCAAGAUGAUAACAAAAAACUUUGAGCGAGUACUCGGACGGGGAGGGUUUGGGUACGUCUAUGACGGUUUUCUGGAGGACGGCACUCAGGUCGCGGUGAAGCUGCGAUCUCAUUCCUCUGAUCAAGGUGACAAGGAGUUUCUCGCAGAGGCUCGCAUUUUGACACGGAUUCAUCACAAAAAUCUUGUCACCAUGAUUGGUUACUGCAAGGAUGGGGAGUAUUUGGCACUUGUCUAUGAGUACAUGUCAGAAGGAACCUUGCAUGACCAUAUUGAAGGAAGCAAACUUCAAGGACGAUGUUUGUCCUGGAGACAAAGACUCCGAAUCGCACUUGAAUCUGCGCAAGGGCUAGAGUAUCUGCAUAAGGGGUGCAACCCGCCUCUGGUUCACAGGGAUGUGAAGACCACCAACAUCCUCUUAAAUGCAAAGAUGGAGGCUAGGAUUGCUGAUUUUGGCUUGUCCAAGGCCUUCGAAGGCGACAAUAACCAUGUGUCAACUACCACACUUGUUGGCACACCCGGGUAUGUCGAUCCUGAGUACCAGGCGACGAUGCAGGCAACGGCCAAGAGUGAUGUCUACAGCUUUGGUGUCGUUCUUUUGGAGGUAGUUACAGGGAAGCCAGCCAUACUACGGGAAGUUGUGUCCAUCAGCAUCAUCCAGUGGGCAUGGCAACGAAUGGCGCAAGGCAACAUUGAAAGUGUGGUUGAUGCAAGUAUGUGUGGAAUUUAUGAUGUCAACAGCGUUUGGAAGGUGGUGGAAAUUGCCCUAAAGUGCACUGAGUAUGCAUCGACACAUCGACCCACCAUGACCAAUGUGGUGGUGCAGCUGCAAGAGUGCAUCGAGCUUGAGGAGGGCAGCACCGUUGAGGACACAAAUGACGGCACGUACACUAGCGGUGGCAGUGACAACCCGAACUUGAGUUAUGAUCCUUACUUCGAUGAUCGGUCUAUUGAUAUGGACAAGAACAACAUUGCAUUUCAACCGGAACAUAAUGUUAAGAAGGUGCUUGCAAUGUCCACAGGUCCGGUUGCACGUUGA
RNAcentral lists this ribosomal RNA (2820 nucleotides) under Triticum aestivum (bread wheat). RNAcentral's name for it is "partial small subunit ribosomal RNA". Lineage: Eukaryota; Viridiplantae; Streptophyta; Magnoliopsida; Poales; Poaceae. The record is from RNAcentral.